CGCACGGUUGGCCAAGAGCAUGUCCAGUGCCCUCUGGGAUCCGCUCUUUCCCUGAAUAUUGGAAGGACUCCCAAAAGAAAGGAAAUUUCUUUCUGCUUUAAAAAGCCUGAUCUAGCUUGUUGAAACACCAGUCUUACCAAAAAGCAGACUUUCUUGGCCGUGGAGGAAAGGGCUGACUUUGUUCCUGGUGGAGGUCGCAUUACAAUCUCUUGGAAGUUUAGCUCAUAAAGAAAGAUGCCAAUCCUGAUACUUAAGAAAAUCAAACC
This 266-nucleotide long non-coding RNA is filed under the name Dromaius novaehollandiae (emu). RNAcentral's name for it is "lncRNA (ENSDNVG00000003429.1)". The record is from RNAcentral. Lineage: Eukaryota; Metazoa; Chordata; Aves; Casuariiformes; Dromaiidae.